UUUUAGCCCCGAUAGCAGUGGAAAUCCUUUUGUGCCGGGGUUCGGCAUAAAAGAUUGUAACGGAUAGCGGGAUUAGCU
This 78-nucleotide small RNA is filed under the name Flavobacterium aquicola. RNAcentral's name for it is "Flavo-1 RNA". It matches the Rfam family "Flavo-1 RNA". Lineage: Bacteria; Pseudomonadati; Bacteroidota; Flavobacteriia; Flavobacteriales; Flavobacteriaceae. The record is from RNAcentral.